This 484-nucleotide ribosomal RNA is filed under the name uncultured bacterium. Its description in RNAcentral is "partial 16S ribosomal RNA". It matches the Rfam family "Bacterial small subunit ribosomal RNA", at positions 30 to 507 of the family's 1533-position model. The record is from RNAcentral.
AUUGAACGCUGGCGGCAGGCCUAACACAUGCAAGUCGAGCGGAUGAAGGGAGCUUGCUCCUGGAUUCAGCGGCGGACGGGUGAGUAAUGCCUAGGAAUCUGCCUGGUAGUGGGGGAUAACGUCCGGAAACGGGCGCUAAUACCGCAUACGUCCUGAGGUAGAAAGUGGGGGAUCUUCGGACCUCACGCUAUCAGAUGAGCCUAGGUCGGAUUAGCUAGUUGGUGGGGUAAAGGCCUACCAAGGCGACGAUCCGUAACUGGUCUGAGAGGAUGAUCAGUCACACUGGAACUGAGACACGGUCCAGACUCCUACGGGAGGCAGCAGUGGGGAAUAGUGGACAAUGGGCGAAAGCCUGCUCCAGCCAUGCCGCGUGUGUGAAGAAGGUCUUCGGAUUGUAAAGCACUUUAAGUUGGGAGGAAGGGCAGUAAGUUAAUACCUUGCUGUUUUGACGUUACCAACAGAAUAAGCACCGGCUAACUUCGUG